Pipistrellus kuhlii (Kuhl's pipistrelle) is the source of this 462-nucleotide long non-coding RNA. RefSeq lists it as uncharacterized. The transcript is spliced from 2 exons. The record is from RefSeq and is a predicted model, not a curated record. Lineage: Eukaryota; Metazoa; Chordata; Mammalia; Chiroptera; Vespertilionidae.
CAGUGAAGAUGAUGAUGAUAGCAGGCACCAUUUCUCCCUCUGAACCCUGACCUUUGGACACCCCUUGCCUGACAGCUUAAGAAUUGUAUGUACUAUAAUACAAUGAACCUCAGGGAUGGUGGUGGCUAGGAUUUAAGGGCUGACAGGGAUUGAGCAAUUCUUCCAUCCCUGACACUAGCCACCAAAGUGACAGUGACCCUCUCUUGCUCAAUAACUCAAUGACUCCCUGCUAUUCUCAGGACCUAACUAUGGAAGUGAGGCCUCUGUCAGCCUCUUGGUUUGCAUUCUUCCUACUUAACUAGUUAUUAUACUAGAGGCUCUAUACCAGUUAAUAGCAUUUAGCAGAUGAAAAUCAGUAUGCCAAGUUUCUUAUUGAAUUUUUUUCCUAUCAGUAAAGUGGGUAAUCUAAAUAGUUAUAUUCUGUUUUUGACAGGUGUUAAUAAAUCUAUUUUUAUUUCAAAU